UACGUAGGGUGCGAGCGUUGCCCGGAUUUAUUGGGCGUAAAGGGCGCGUAGGCGGUCACGCACGUCCGUUGUGAAAUCGCUCGGCUCAACUGGGCGGGGUCAGCGGAUACGGCGUGGCUGGAGCAAGCUAGGGGGCAAUGGAAUUCCCGGUGUAGUGGUGGAAUGCGUAGGUAUCGGGAGGAACACCAGUGGCGAAGGCGGUUGCCUGGAGCUUUGCUGACGCUGAUGCGCGAAAGCGUGGGGAGCGAUCCGG
RNAcentral lists this ribosomal RNA (253 nucleotides) under uncultured bacterium. RNAcentral's name for it is "partial 16S ribosomal RNA". It matches the Rfam family "Bacterial small subunit ribosomal RNA", at positions 524 to 776 of the family's 1533-position model. The record is from RNAcentral.